This 1028-nucleotide ribosomal RNA is filed under the name Trueperella sp. T41421UB03_1492r. RNAcentral describes it as "bacterial SSU rRNA". It matches the Rfam family "Bacterial small subunit ribosomal RNA", at positions 424 to 1462 of the family's 1533-position model. Lineage: Bacteria; Bacillati; Actinomycetota; Actinomycetes; Actinomycetales; Actinomycetaceae. The record is from RNAcentral.
UGUAAACUCCUUUCAGUACAGAAGAAGCGAUGAGUGACGGUAUGUGCAGAAGAAGCGCCGGCUAACUACGUGCCAGCAGCCGCGGUAAUACGUAGGGCGCGAGCGUUGUCCGGAAUUAUUGGGCGUAAAGAGCUCGUAGGCGGUUUGUUGCGCCUGCUGUGAAAGUCCGGGGCUUAACUUCGGGGUUGCAGUGGGUACGGGCAGACUAGAGUGUGGUAGGGGUAAUUGGAAUUCCUGGUGUAGCGGUGGAAUGCGCAGAUAUCAGGAGGAACACCGAUGGCGAAGGCAGGUUACUGGGCCACCACUGACGCUGAGGAGCGAAAGCGUGGGUAGCGAACAGGAUUAGAUACCCUGGUAGUCCACGCCGUAAACGUUGGGCACUAGGUGUGGGGCCUUUUCCACGGGUUCUGCGCCGUAGCUAACGCAUUAAGUGCCCCGCCUGGGGAGUACGGCCGCAAGGCUAAAACUCAAAGGAAUUGACGGGGGCCCGCACAAGCGGCGGAGCAUGCGGAUUAAUUCGAUGCAACGCGAAGAACCUUACCAAGGCUUGACAUACACUGCGAUGUGCCAGAGAUGGUGNAGCCUUCGGGGUGGUGUACAGGUGGUGCAUGGUUGUCGUCAGCUCGUGUCGUGAGAUGUUGGGUUAAGUCCCGCAACGAGCGCAACCCUUGUCCUGUGUUGCCAGCACUUUGGGUGGGGACUCACGGGAGACUGCCGGGGUUAACUCGGAGGAAGGUGGGGAUGACGUCAAAUCAUCAUGCCCCUUAUGUCUUGGGCUUCACGCAUGCUACAAUGGCCGGUACAGAGGGUUGCGAGCCUGCAAGGGUGAGCUAAUCCCUUAAAGCUGGUCUCAGUUCGGAUUGGGGUCUGCAACUCGACCCCAUGAAGUCGGAGUCGCUAGUAAUCGCAGAUCAGCAACGCUGCGGUGAAUACGUUCUCGGGCCUUGUACACACCGCCCGUCACGUCACGAAAGUUGGUAACACCCGAAGCCCNGUGGCCUAACCUUUUUUGGGGGAGCGUNNAAGGG